GACGAACGCUGGCGGCGUGCUUAACACAUGCAAGUCGAACGGUGAAGUACCUUCCUUUUGGUGGGUGUGGAUGAGUGGCGAACGGGUGAGUAACACGUGAGUAACCUGCCCCCUUCUUCUGGAUAACCGCAUGAAAGUGUGGCUAAUACGGGAUAUUCUGUGCCUGCUGCAUGGUGGGUGUGGGAAAGAUGCGCUUUUGGGUGUUUUUGGUGGGGGAUGGGCUCGCGGCCUAUCAGCUUGUUGGUGGGGUGAUGGCCUACCAAGGCGGUGACGGGUAGCCGGCCUGAGAGGGUGGACGGUCACACUGGGACUGAGACACGGCCCAGACUCCUACGGGAGGCAGCAGUGGGGAAUAUUGCACAAUGGGCGCAAGCCUGAUGCAGCGACGCCGCGUGAGGGAUGGAGGCCUUCGGGUUGUAAACCUCUUUCGCCAGUGAAGCAGGCCUGUCCCUUGUGGGUGGGUUGACGGUAGCUGGAUAAGAAGCGCCGGCUAACUACGUG
Molecule: ribosomal RNA, 501 nt
Filed under: uncultured bacterium
Lineage: Bacteria
Description: partial 16S ribosomal RNA
Rfam family: Bacterial small subunit ribosomal RNA
Source: RNAcentral